CUUAAAUACCGCCUGCCCGGGCCUCAGUUCCCAGUAAGUGUAAUGGCGAUAGAAGCAUUCCCUAUCUCGGAGAGAAAGAUAAACGCAUUAAAGACUGCGAGGCGCUCAGAUGCUGCCGUGAUUAUCUCUUUAUAGACAGACGAGCUGAAGAACAAUCGGAUGCUGCGGAGUACAAGUUUAAUACACACAACAACAGUUCUUGUCAGGUGGAAAAUGUGUGUGCAGUAACCCCUUGCCUGUUUGUCUUCAUAAACAACGAGCUCUUAAGAGGGUCAAACUGCAGGCAGAGCUGAGGCAGCUCGGGGAAGCCAACUUCCAAACAGCACUGUCAGACACUUCUGCAGAGUGCCC
This 351-nucleotide long non-coding RNA is filed under the name Anser brachyrhynchus (Pink-footed goose). Its description in RNAcentral is "lncRNA (ENSABRG00000023096.1)". Lineage: Eukaryota; Metazoa; Chordata; Aves; Anseriformes; Anatidae. The record is from RNAcentral.